RNAcentral lists this unclassified non-coding RNA (4699 nucleotides) under Hevea brasiliensis (rubber tree). Lineage: Eukaryota; Viridiplantae; Streptophyta; Magnoliopsida; Malpighiales; Euphorbiaceae. The record is from RNAcentral.
UUCCUUGUCUGGGUCCUUUAUUGACCCUUUCCCUCUAAUAUAAACACGGCACCCCGUCGUAGCUUCCACCCGUUUCAGCGAAUUGCCUCUAGGGCCUAAAAGUCGCCCAACAAAAUUGAAAUUUGGAUAAGUAUCUACUGGAAUUUCCAGGCGCAAAAUUCUUUUCACAGUGUAUGAACUAGGGCUUGCAGGUGCACCUUGCCAGUCCAUUGUCAUUCCAGGGAGCCCACUCAAUCUCUCGUGUGGAAGACCAUUCCAGCUGCCUAAACCUGUUCCAGCAACACUGGAAAUAAGGUUUGAUGAAGCCAUAGGACUGGGGCUUCUAUGCCGCAGUCUGUCAAAAUCGCCAAAUCCUUGGUUGGACAUCAUUCCCGAAACCCGAAAAAUUUCUUGAUUUAACAGUCGGCUACAUAUCGGGAGAACCUGUAUGAAUGGUCCAAGCUUCUGAUGCUCUGCCAACAACUCUGACAAGUACUGACUGUCAACAUCUGGAGUGCUUCUAAUCUGAGGAGAAGCAGCUCUUGCAGGUGAGAAGUUGGGAUUAUACAAACCUGACAUGGCUCUCUUUUCUUGAAGAUUUUUUUCCUUUUUUCCCUUUCUUUCUUCCUUGAACAAACAAAAGAAUGAAAUGAAAAAAAGAGAGAAAAAUCAACAAGGCAUAGCUUCUCCUCUCUCUGUGUACUAAUACAAUCCCUUUUCAUUUCCCUCCACAGAUCUCCAAAUUCCCACUCACCAAACCCUAAAUUUCUCUCUCUACAACUGUCUGUUCAUUUCUGUGUUUAUCUAUUAUGACUAUUAUGACUCUUUGAUCCAAUUUCAUCCGAUGAUUCUAGAGUCUUCAUGAAUAUCUGCAACUUCAUGGAGUCUUCAUGAAUAUCUGCAACUUCAUGGACCCAAGGUACCACCACCGUCACCACCGUCGACAUCCAUCGUACGAUGCCUGACCUACGGAGCCGAGCACGAAGAAAUCGGGAACCCGUGAAACCUACUCCGAAUCAGAAUCCGAUUAAGCUCACUGUACAGACUCGUCGGAGAAAAACUGCUGAGAACAAGGGAAAAAAUAACGCGAUCGCUGUUGAAGAUAAGAAUAAUAUUGUGAACCUUGAAACGACACCGUUAGAGGCGCAUCCUAGGGCUUUUAGAGAGGAGGUUGCAGAGAAGACAAUGGAUGAGUACGAUAGCGGCGGCCGCAGCGGUGACAAAGGUCCCGGGGCUGAGGACGAAGGAAGCACGGCUCCGCUUCCUGAGAAGGUUCAAGUUGGAGGCUCCCCAGCCUACAGAAUAGAAAGAAAACUGGGUAAAGGAGGUUUCGGACAAGUAUAUGUUGGUCGACGCAUUAGUCCCUCUGCUUCAAAUGAAAGAAGUGGCCCUGGAGCUGUUGAGGUAGCUCUGAAAUUUGAACAUAGAAGUAGCAAAGGAUGCAAUUAUGGACCACCCUACGAGUGGCAAGUUUACAAUGCUCUUGGAGGUAGUCAUGGUGUCCCGCGAGUUCAUUACAAAGGCCGGCAAGGUGACUACUAUGUCAUGGUUAUGGAUAUGCUUGGACCUAGUUUAUGGGAUGUUUGGAAUAACAAUUCACACACGAUGUCCAUUGAAAUGGUUGCAUGCAUUGCCAUUGAAUCAAUCUCUAUACUAGAGAAGAUGCAUUCUAGAGGAUAUGUGCAUGGGGAUGUAAAACCAGAGAACUUUUUGCUUGGUCCUCCAGGAACCCCUGAGGAAAAAAAGCUUUUUCUUAUUGACCUUGGACUAGCAACCAGGUGGCGAGACAGUUCAACUGGCCUGCAUGUUGAAUAUGAUCAACGUCCUGAUGUUUUUAGGGGAACAGUGCGGUAUGCUAGUGUUCAUGCUCAUCUUGGUAGAACUGGUAGUAGGAGAGAUGACUUAGAGUCUCUUGCUUACACACUCAUUUUUCUUCUCCGUGGUCGGUUACCUUGGCAGGGAUAUCAGGGGGAAAAUAAAGGGUUCCUAGUUUGCAAGAAGAAGAUGGCAACGUCCCCAGAAACUUUGUGUUGUUUCUGCCCUCAGCCUUUUCGUCAGUUUGUUGAGUACGUGGUAAAUCUGAAAUUUGACGAGGAACCCAAUUACGCUAAAUAUAUCUCCCUUUUUGAUGGGAUUGUUGGUCCAAAUCCAGAUAUUAGGCCAAUAAACACUGAUGGUGCCCAGAAGCUUAUUUAUCAGGUUGGACAUAAGCGAGGACGAUUGACAAUGGAAGAGGAAGAAGAUGAACAACCAAAGAAGAAGGUACGGAUGGGAAUGCCUGCAACACAAUGGAUCAGUGUUUACAAUGCUCGUCGUCCAAUGAAGCAGAGAUAUCACUAUAAUGUAGCUGAUAUGAGGCUUUCACAACAUAUAGAGAAAGGAAAUGAGGAUGGGUUAUUUAUCAGCAGUGUGGCUUCUUGCUCAAACUUAUGGGCUUUGAUUAUGGAUGCUGGCACUGGCUUCACUGCUCAAGUUUAUGAGCUUUCCCCUUACUUCCUCCACAAGGAAUGGAUUAUGGAACAGUGGGAGAAGAAUUACUACAUCAGUGCAAUAGCAGGAGCUAAUAAUGGAAGUUCAUUAGUUGUGAUGUCUAAGGGGACCCAGUAUUUACAGCAGUCCUAUAAAGUCAGUGAUUCAUUCCCUUUCAAGUGGAUUAAUAAGAAAUGGAGAGAGGGUUUUUAUGUCACUUCCAUGGCCACUGCUGGAAGUAGAUGGGCAAUUGUUAUGUCUCGUGGGGCUGGAUUUUCUGAUCAGGUUGUGGAGCUAGAUUUUCUAUAUCCUAGUGAAGGAAUUCAUAGGAGGUGGGAUAGCGGUUACCGCAUUACUUCAACUGCCGCAACUUGGGACCAGGCUGCUUUUGUUCUCAGUGUGCCCCGAAGAAAACCAGCAGAUGAAACUCAAGAGACACUUCGAACUUCUGCUUUUCCUAGUACACAUGUCAAGGAGAAAUGGGCAAAGAAUCUUUAUAUUGCAUCUGUAUGCUAUGGUCGAACUGUCUCAUGAACAACUGAAGCUAUGUUGGGAUGCCAUUGAUGUUAUAAUGAUUUUGCCCCUUCAUACUACCUAGAAGACAGUUCUCACUAUCAAUGACCUUUAUUUGAGAAGCAAGCAUCCACUUAAGCCAAAAUGAUGCAUCACAGCAUUUGGGAGUCUAUGUAUGCAAAAAUUCUUCUUUAUCGUCGCCAACACUUAGCACCUAUUACAAAUACCUAUGCACUGUUUUUCAAUUGCUUUGAAAUGUUUAUGAGCCAAUGUUAGAUCUCAUGCCCGUUAGGAUGGGUCGAUUUACCCAUUGCAAAAAGAAGAAAAAAAAAAUUGUAUAGUUGUGAACAUUGGUUGCUUGCUUCAAGGUGCGUGCACAGGUCCUGUUUUCAUUAUUAACAGUAUAAUGAUUUUGGGCUCUAGGCAUUCUCAGUCAGCGAGUCUGUACUUAUUCCUUCUUGUUUUUGGACUUAAGGAUCCUCUGAUCUUUCACUCAAGAACUCAUGGGAUGUCUGAAUUUGACCUAAAGACUGAAGAUGUACUUAUUUUGUAUACUUCAGAGUAACACUUUGUAAUUUUUUUUUAUUAUAUUAAUAUUUUAUGCUAUAACCUUAUAUUAUUUGUGCCUUCGAACACCCAAUUGUGCACGUGUUAUGUGAUGUGUCCCUCAAUGCAGUUAUUUUGAGCAGUAAAGUGCACCCUACCUUGCUUUGGUUACCCUUUUUUUUAAUAUUUUGUAUUUGUUUCCUCCUAUUGAAGAUACUUGUUUACUUGCUAAUAUGACCAGAUUGGUCUUUAUAGUUCUGGUUUUGCAACUGAAUGCAAAGCCAAAAUCUAUUCGAUCUUUUCCAAAAUUAGUUUCUGUUGUGAGAGAACCUCUUGGUAGUUGGGAUUUUGUAUUUAAGUUAUUAAUUGACGGUAUAGUUUGGAAGCUUUAGAAGGAAUAUAUGACUCUUUACUGGUGACAUGGUUGAAUUUUAUCUUUUGAGAUUUUAAUUGUCCUUUUGUUUUAAUAUGAGUAGUUUUUCUACUUUCUUUGUAUAUGGCAUGGUAAUACGAGCACAGAAGUUGCUGUGUGGUAUAGGAUCGCAGGUUAAAUUGUUAAUAUUUUGUGGUCAAGAUAUUCAAGGUGGAAAUAUUGUCGGCAAGACCUCCUUGCUCUAAGAAUUUGUGAUACUGAGUAACCAACCUAUCUUUUACUUGCAACCACUUCACAUUCAUUUGGCUCAAAAGCAUCUGGCCUGGAUUUCUUGGGCAUUUGACUGGUGAAUAUUUACACACUGAAUGGGAAGAAGUGACAAAUUCAGGUCACUUUUGGGUCUGAUAUGGAAUCUAAUUGCACUCUGGAUUUACAUGUUGAAAUUGCUGCUUAGUUUAGUGAUUCAAUCUUCAUGCUGAUGGUAUUAGUCUUUUAUCUUUUUCCUUUAUCUGCUAUUUAUGAGAAGGCAACCAUUUUUAUGUAAUUGUUUUCAACAAUUUCCAAUUUUGCUUGUAAAGACAAUCUUGAUGAUAUUUCUGUGACUGAAAAUGCUAGAUUUCCAAGCAGUCCUUUGUUACUAUCAAUCAUGUCUGUGAAAAGCCUUGGAAAAAUUAAAGGGAGAAAUCGAUAAAAAAGACAAUUUAUCCUUUUGCAUUCCAACUAAUUAGUUGUGGUUGACAGCUUUUUUUCUGUAUCUAUCAUGCAACAUGUUGACCAUGUUCAAUGCUUGUUAAGCUAUUCUGCUGUAUUCAAGAGGGG